GAUGAACGCUGGCGGCGUGCUUAACACAUGCAAGUCGAACGGAAAGACCCCUGCUUGCAGUUUUACUCGAUUGGCGAACGGGUGAGUAACACAUGGGUGAAAUGCCCUGCACUUCGGGAGAAGCCUGGGAAACUUGGGCUAAUACAGCAUAGGACAACAUUUUGCGCGUUACGGUGGGUAGUAUGUCGGUGCGGGAUGAGCUGGCGGCCUAUCAGCUUGUUGGUGGGGUAACGGCGUACCAAGGCGGCGGCGCGAAGCCGCCAUGAGGGGGUGGACGGCCACACGGGGACUGAGACACGGCCAAGACGCCUACGGGAGGCGGCAGUAAGGAAUCUGCGGGAAUGGAGGAAAGUCUGACGGAGCAACGCCGCGUGAGCGAAGAAGGCCUUCGGGUCGUAAAGCUCUGUUGUUAGGGAAGAAAAAGUAACGCAGUAACUGGCGUGACCGUGACGGUACCUAACGAGAAAGCCACGGCUAACUACGUG
Molecule: ribosomal RNA, 485 nt
Filed under: uncultured bacterium
Lineage: Bacteria
Description: partial 16S ribosomal RNA
Rfam family: Bacterial small subunit ribosomal RNA
Source: RNAcentral